UACGUAGGGUGCGAGCGUUAAUCGGAAUUAUUGGGCGUAAAGGGUGCGCAGGCGGCUAAAGCAAGUCGAGUGUGAAAGCCCCGGGCUUAACUUGGGAAUUGCGCUCGAAACUACUUGGCUGGAGUGUGGCAGAGGAAGGUGGAAUUCCGCAUGUAGCGGUGAAAUGCGUUGAGAUGCGGAGGAACGCCAAUGGCGAAGGCAGCCUUCUGGGCCAACACUGACGCUCAUGCACGAAAGCGUGGGGAGCAAA
Molecule: ribosomal RNA, 250 nt
Filed under: uncultured bacterium
Lineage: Bacteria
Description: partial 16S ribosomal RNA
Rfam family: Bacterial small subunit ribosomal RNA
Source: RNAcentral